Molecule: unclassified non-coding RNA, 260 nt
Filed under: uncultured fungus
Lineage: Eukaryota; Fungi
Description: partial contains small subunit ribosomal RNA, internal transcribed spacer 1, and 5.8S ribosomal RNA
Rfam family: Eukaryotic small subunit ribosomal RNA (bases 1-73)
Source: RNAcentral
GCAAACUUGGUCAUUUAGAGGAAGUAAAAGUCGUAACAAGGUUUCCGUAGGUGAACCUGCGGAAGGAUCAUUAUUGAAAAAGCUUUGGCUUACUUUGAUGACACUUAAACCCCCAUUAACAAAAAACUUAUUAGUUUUUGUUAAUGGAUUUUAUUACAAAACUCUUGUAAUUGAGCUGUGUCUGUCUGAAAAAAAAAAAAAAAAAUCUUAAAACUUUCAACAACGGAUCUCUUGGCUCCUGCAUCGAUGAAGAACGCAGC